This 289-nucleotide ribosomal RNA is filed under the name uncultured bacterium. RNAcentral's name for it is "partial 16S ribosomal RNA". It matches the Rfam family "Bacterial small subunit ribosomal RNA", at positions 773 to 1060 of the family's 1533-position model. The record is from RNAcentral.
GUGGAUUAGAUACCCUGGUAGUCCACGCCCUAAACGAUGUCUACUAGUUGUCGGGUUUUAAUUAACUUGGUAACGCAGCUAACGCGUGAAGUAGACCGCCUGGGGAGUACGGUCGCAAGAUUAAAACUCAAAGGAAUUGACGGGGACCCGCACAAGCGGUGGAUGAUGUGGAUUAAUUCGAUGCAACGCGAAAAACCUUACCUACCCUUGACAUGUCAGGAAGUCCGGAGAGAUCUGGAUGUGCCCGAAAGGGAGCCUGAACACAGGUGCUGCACGGCCGUCGACAGCU